This 236-nucleotide ribosomal RNA is filed under the name uncultured bacterium. RNAcentral describes it as "partial 16S ribosomal RNA". It matches the Rfam family "Bacterial small subunit ribosomal RNA", at positions 96 to 334 of the family's 1533-position model. The record is from RNAcentral.
UGGCGGACGGGUGAGUAAUGCCUGGGAAACUAGCCUGAUGGAGGGGGAUAACUACUGGAAACGGUAGCUAAUACCGCAUAACGUCGCAAGACCAAAGAGGGGGACCUUCGGGCCUCUUGCCAUCGGAUGUGCCCAGAUGGGAUUAGCUAGUAGGUGGGGUAACGGCUCACCUAGGCGACGAUCCCUAGCUGGUCUGAGAGGAUGACCAGCCACACUGGAACUGAGACACGGUCCAG